UACAGAGGGUGCGAGCGUUAAUCGGAGUUACUGGGCGUAAAGGGCGCGUAGGCGGUUAUGUAAGUUUCAUGUGAAAUCCCUGGGCUUAACCUAGGAACUGCAUGAGAUACUGUAUGACUGGAGUACUGUAGAGGGUAGUGGAAUUUCCGGUGUAGCGGUGAAAUGCGUAGAGAUCGGAAGGAACACCAGUGGCGAAGGCGGCUACCUGGACAGAUACUGACGCUGAGGCGCGAGAGCGUGGGGAGCAAACAGG
This 253-nucleotide ribosomal RNA is filed under the name uncultured bacterium. RNAcentral describes it as "partial 16S ribosomal RNA". It matches the Rfam family "Bacterial small subunit ribosomal RNA", at positions 524 to 776 of the family's 1533-position model. The record is from RNAcentral.